UUAUAGCCCUGAUGGAAGCGACAUCCUUUUUCUUUAUAUAUAAGUUUAAAAAUUUGAUAUAAAGAAAAAGAUAAAGCAAACAGCAGGUAGAAAC
This 94-nucleotide small RNA is filed under the name Flavobacterium sp. 316. RNAcentral's name for it is "Flavo-1 RNA". It matches the Rfam family "Flavo-1 RNA". Lineage: Bacteria; Pseudomonadati; Bacteroidota; Flavobacteriia; Flavobacteriales; Flavobacteriaceae. The record is from Rfam by way of RNAcentral.